GGAUUAGAUACCCUGGUAGUCCACGCCGUAAACGAUGGUCACUAGCUGUUCGACUAACAAUGGUUAGUUGAGUGGCUAAGCGAAAGUGAUAAGUAAUCCACCUGGGGAGUACGCCCGCAAGGGUGAAACUCAAAGGAAUUGACGGGGGCCCGCACAAGCGGUGGAGCAUGUGGUUUAAUUCGAUGAUACGCGAGGAACCUUACCAGGGUUUAAAUGUAGAAUGACCGGGGUGGAAACACCCCUUUCUUCGGACAGACUACAAGGUGCUGCAUGGUUGUCGUAGCUCGUGUCG
This 292-nucleotide ribosomal RNA is filed under the name uncultured bacterium. RNAcentral's name for it is "partial 16S ribosomal RNA". It matches the Rfam family "Bacterial small subunit ribosomal RNA", at positions 775 to 1067 of the family's 1533-position model. The record is from RNAcentral.